GGAGAAGGAGGAGGAAGAGGAGGAAAACCUGGCCUGGUGGUGGAGACAAGCGGACUCAGGAAUUCCGAAGACCGCUUCAGUCAACAGGAAACGGGACAGGGGCUGGGAAACCGGAGUUACGUGGUGCGACCCAUUUCAGGGGCCCGAGGGCGGUGCUGGCCUCUGCAGGAAGCGAUGGUGGCAGUAACCAUUGGUAGCAUCAGCAAUGGCCUUGCCCCAACGCUGAGCCCCAUUUCUCCACGCCAGGCACGUCCAUCAACUCAUUCAAUCCUAAGGAGCCCUCAAGGUUACCCUCAAGGUCACCCCCAAGGGAGCCACGAGGAGGAACCGAGGCUCCACGUGAAGUAUGGUAGCAAUCAUCUCAGGAAGAAACUGCUGUUUUGGAUUCUGUACUCACUUAAAAGUUAUUUUGAUUUUCUGAACUUAUGUAUGAUUGAAUGCUCCCCUGAUAGCGGUUUGAAUAUCCCAUUGAUUGUGAUCUCACUGGUCAUCCAAGCACAUUCCUGGGACCCAAGACAGUUCAAUUAUCCUAAAUUGCCUUAGUAGCUACAGAUAGUGCAUUCCUGUUGACUCAGUGAUCCCAGAAUCUGGACAGCACAAUUAUUCUAAAUUGUCCAGGUGGUCCGUCCCAGAUAAUGUGUUUCUGUUGAUUCAGUGAUUCGUAGAUACUUCAGAUUACUAACUUGCUCAGUUUCACUUCUGUAAAAUCCUGAAACAGGUUCCUCAUUCCAGACCCAAAGAUGUAAUCGAUACCUUUGUGAUAGUCUGCCGAUAUAAGCCAGACGUGGCGAGCUGUUUGGGGCUUCGAGAUUUGGAGCUUUAGCCCCUCUUAUGCCACCUGCCUUUAAUAAAUGACUCCAUAAUUGGA
Long non-coding RNA from Eptesicus fuscus (big brown bat), 868 nucleotides. RefSeq lists it as uncharacterized. Lineage: Eukaryota; Metazoa; Chordata; Mammalia; Chiroptera; Vespertilionidae. The transcript is spliced from 2 exons. The record is from RefSeq and is a predicted model, not a curated record.